RNAcentral lists this long non-coding RNA (513 nucleotides) under Homo sapiens (human). RNAcentral describes it as "HSALNT0003401". The record is from RNAcentral. Lineage: Eukaryota; Metazoa; Chordata; Mammalia; Primates; Hominidae.
GCUGGGUGCAGAAAAGCUCUCCAGGCAUGCUGGCUGUUGUUCUCAUCUGGUUCUCACAACAGCUCCAGCAAGAAGGAGGCAAUUCCGUGAAGGAGGCGGUGGAGGCUGGCAGAUAGGGCUUGCCAGGUCUCUCCCGAGAGCUCCCGCCGCAGCUGCAGCAAUCACGACACAGAUCAUGAUAUGAUGGAUGCAGGAGGAGUCGGAGCUGGAGGAAAAGGCGAUGUGAUGACAGAAGCAGAAAUUGGAGCGAUGCACUUUGAGAUGGAGGAAGAGGCCACAAGCCAAGGAAUGCAGGUGCCUCUAGAAUCUUCAUUGCUUUCCGGCAUUCCUUAAAUACAACACCCUCUUUCGUGUCUCUAAGCCUUUGCACCUGCUCUUCCUUCUGCCUGGAGUGCAUUCUCUUAUUCACCACCUGGACAACUCCAGUGCAUCCUUAAACGCCCAGCUCAGGUAUCAUGUCCCCAGGAAAGCAUGCUGGCUUGCUGCGGGACUACUGCCUGCAGGACAACAGGC